CAAACAGUAAUUCAAAGGGGUUAUUAAGGAAAAACUAGCAAAUUUAUAAAAAAGGAGGGCACAAGUCCAAAAGCCACAAUUUACCGAAAGGUGAUCAAGUUUCAUUAGAUUUAUUUAAUGUUGACAAAGAAUGUAGGCGAUCCUAAGGGAAACCUUUAUAUUUAAACUUCCCGAAGUAAAACAUUUCAUUAGGGAAAGGAAAGGAAAUCAACCGAGACUCCGAAAGUAAUGGCGAGUGAAAUCGGACCAGCCUUUAUUUAAAAAAUAAAUUUAACAAAAAUACACACCAGAAACCAAAGAAGGUAAAAUAGUCCUGUAUGUUAAAUCUUUUUAAAACUAAUAUUUAAAUAAGUAUUAUUAAAUUAAAAUUUAUUUAAAUAAUGAGUACGACGAGAGUGAACUUGUCGGAAUAUAGGGGAACCAUCCUCUAAGGCUAAGUAUUUAUAAAUUUAGCGAUAGUGAAAAGUACCGUGAGGGAAAGUUUGAAAUAGUUAUGUAUUUUUAGACAUAAAUGAAAUAGUUGAAUUAGUAACUCUAUAAGCAGUCGAAAUUUAUAAUUAUAAAUGACGGCGUACCUUUUGCAUAAUGGGUCAGCAAGUUAAUAGGAGUAGCAAGGUUUAAAGCCUUAGUGAAAGCGACCACACUAACUAGCUAAAAGUAUUCUUAAUUUCAUAGAUAUUAAGAAUAGGAUAUCCUUCAUAGUCAUAAGGCUAAGAAGUUAAAUAUUUUCUAGGAAUAUAGUGAUGGGUAAGUUACUUCUAUUAGACCCGAAGCUGAUAUGUGUUUUGGGAAAACACUAAAUUGGCUGAAACUACCAAACUCCGGGGACUCCCUAAAGCUUAUGGUACCAAGCUAUCUUCGAAAGAUUAUAAGUGGCCAGAAUAAUUACCUGGGUACGGUAACAAGUCAUAAGAUGAAGGAAACUGAAAUGGGAUAUCGCGGAUCUAAAUCAAUAUUGAAUAAUAUUGUAAAAGAGCAACGAGUAGACGGUAGUUAUUGCAUUAAAAAAGCCAAAUCCAGACAAAUGCAAUUAAGGUGUACUCUAAUGGGUUUCGAAAGAAAUUAUCAAGUCAAAAUCCCUUCUAACCAAUUAAAUUAUUUUUCUACUUUACAUUCUUUAAAAAGAUUAAAUCCAUGGUUUGUAACUGGACUUGCAGACUCAGAAGGUACAUUUACUGUAAUGAUUGAUCAAAAUCAAAAACGUACACUGGGUUGGCGUGUUCAAGCUAAAUUUCAAAUUGGACUACAUGAACGAGAUUUAGCCUUAUUGUUACAAGUACAGCAAUUUUUUGGGGGUAUUGGGUCAAUAGGUCAAAGUGGAAGUAUGGUAUUUUAUUCAGUAUCUAGUGUUAAAGAUUUAACAAAUACUAUAAUACCACAUUUUUUAAAAUAUACUUUAUUAACUCAAAAAGCCGCAGAUUUUUUACUGUUCAAAACCAUAGUGUAUCUAAUAAAUAAUAAAGUCCAUCUAACAAUUGAAGGAUUAAAUCAAAUAAUUAAUAUAAAAGCCUCUAUGAAUACAGGUCUUUCUCAAAUUGUAAAAUCAAAUUUUAAUAACAUUGUUCCGGUUAAGAGACCCAAUGUAAAUACUGACAAUAUCCCGGAUCCUCAAUGGAUAACAGGGUUUGUAAAUGGAGAGGGAACUUUUGAUAUAAAAAUAUAUAGUUCAAAAACUAAAACCGGAUAUGCCGUUCAAUUAAGAUUUAGAAUACCGCAACAUGAAAGAGAUACUAAAUUAAUAGAGUUAAUAAUUAAAUAUUUUGGUUCAGGUAAAAUAGAAAAACAUACUCAAUUUCCAUCUGUAACUUUAGUUAUAGUUAAAUUUUCAGAUCUAAUUGAAAAAGUUAUACCUUUUUUUGAAUUAUAUCCUCUUAUUGGUAUAAAACAAAAUGAUUUUUUAGAUUGGUGUAAUGCAGCAAAACUAAUUACCGAUGGAUCACAUCUAACAAUUGAAGGAUUAAAUUUAAUUCGAAUAAUUAAAGAGGGAAUGAAUAAAGGUAGAACCAAAAAAUAAUUUAAUUGCAUGAUAAAUUUGAUCUCCAUGAGGUGAUCUUCCUAAGACCAGAUUAUAAUGGAUCGAACGGGUGAAUGUAGCAAAAUUCUCCGAAGAGUUUUAGGAAGCGGUGAAAUGCCAAUCUGACCUAGUGAUAGCUGGUUUUCUACGAAACAUAUGUAAGUAUGACAUCUAAACAAAAUUUAUGGUGGUACAGCACUGAGUUCCCAACUAUUUCUUUUUAAAAGAAAAGUUUAGGUUGCGGGGACGUCGAAAAUCUUACCAAUGGAAGAGAAUCUCGGAAUGACAUAAAUUGAUGUUAGAUAUUCAGACUGCUCAUGCGAAGUUGGGUAGUCAAGACGGAAACAGCCGAGAACACGAAACAAGGUCCCAAAUGAUUUUUAAGUGAAAUGAAGGAAGUAAUAUAUUGAAUGCAGCUGUAAAGUGAGCCUAAACCAUAGGACUACUGGGCUCAUCACAAAAACCGAGCUAUUUGCAAGGAACCCCUAAAGCUUUAAGUACUCAUCUAAAGAUAGUAACAAUCUUAAAGAUACAACAAUGGGUAAUUUGCAGGAAACCAAAUAUAAUUUAUAUUAUAAAGUAGGAUCCUCAACGACUAUACGCUUGGAAUAAUUAACUAAAUAUUAAUUAUUGUGACAUAGUCUAAACAAUUCUCGAAAGAAAUUGAAUAGGGUCGAGAAAGGAACGGCCUUCCUAUAAAUCAUUUUUGUAUCUCUUUUGGUAAAGUUAAAUAGUAAUUAGAAAAGCCGUUGGUUCUGCUUUUCACUAAGAGGGCUAGUACCCCAAACUUAAGUUAAAAUAAUGAAAAAUAACUUCUACCUACAAAAAUAAAAAAUUAAUUAAAGCAAACUACAGAAACAAUGAAUUUGAAGAACCAAGUUAACAAUAAUUUUAUUAUGAGUUCAGGUUAUAUAAGUGGAUUAACUCAAACAGAUGGUUCCUUUUUUUGUUCUGUCAUAAUCUCUCCUAAACAUAGAUUUGGUAUUCAAUUUAGACCUAAAUUUACUAUAACUGCAGAUUUAGAUUCUAAAUAUGUCUUAGAUAGUAUCCAAUCAUUUUUUAAUUGUGGUAAUGUCACCGUUAAUAAUAAAAAUCAUACUGCUGAAUUUGAAGUAGUAAGAAUAGAAGAACUUUAUAAUAUUAUUAUUCCUCAUUUUUUAAAUUAUCCGGUAUUUUGUGCCAAAUUAAAUGCAUUUAAUUUAUUUAAAGAAAUAGUAAUUGCUUUAUUUAAUAAAGACAAAAGAACGAUAGAAGGAAGAGUAGAAUUAUUAAAGUUAGCUUUAUCUAUGAAUAUUACUACAAAUAGAACAGAAGAAAGAAUAGAUUAUCUAUUUUCUUUAUUAGGGGUAACAGAUCCUGGAGAUAAAGUUUUAUUUUUAAAUGAUAAAACAGAAUUAACUAGUCCUUUAUCUAAUGAACAUAUCUCAGGUAUAAUAGAUGGGGACGGAUCUUUUUUUAUUUCUUUUCUAAAGAAUGGAGAAAUUAAAACUGGGUUUAAUAUAACUAGUGAUAAAGCUUCUAAAUCUUUAUUAGAAAGUAUUAAAAAACAAUUAAAAAAUAUAGGUUCUAUCCAUGAAGGUUCUAAAAAUGAAUUGGUAUAUACAGUUAAUGGUAUAAAUCAGAUUAAUGAUGUUUUAAUACCAUUUAUGGUUAAUAAUCCAAUCUUUUCAGAAAGAGCUUUACAUUAUGAAAAAUUUAAAACUGUUAGUUUAAAGUUAAAUCACGAAAAACCUUUAACUUUAGAUAGUAAGUUAAAAAUAGUUGAGUUAUGUUAUGACAUGAAUAAAAAAGGAAAACAUAGAAAUUUAAGUAAAACACAAUAUAUAGAAAUACUUAAAAAUGAACAUAAUAUAAUAAAAUAGGGAUUUAAAUAAAAUAUAUUUAAAAUUUCCCCUUAGUUUGUUUUAAUUAAUAACAAAGAUAGCUAUAGGACAUUGGGUAGUCGCUAUCUUUUAAUAAACGUAAUGUAACAACGUAGCAGCCUUAUACAAUAGAAUAUUACACCAAAAAUUUAACGGGUCUCAAAAAAUCAACCGAUAUCGUGUUUAUUUUGAAUAAUAAAAAUUAAUAUUCAAGAUACAGGUAGUAGAACAUUCAGUAUACUGAUGAUAAAACAGUGUUUCAUUGUUUUUAGGUCACUGAAGAGAGAAUGCUGACAUGAGUAACGUAAAAAGAAGUUAUAAUACUUCUCGCCGAAUACGAAAGGGUUGUAAGGAAAGGUUAAACCACCUUAUGUUAAUGCGGCCUCUAAGGAACAAAACCAAAGUUUUGUCUGAUGAGUAUGAAUUAGAAAGUCCAUUUUUAAUACGAAAAGGGACCAGGAAAAGAAUAUAUUCAUAACUACCGUACCCUAAACCGACACAGGUUCGUAAGUAGAGUAUACUAAGGCGUAGAGCUAAAAGUUGUUAAGGAACUCGGCAAGUUCUCCUCAUAAGUUUGACGAUAAGAGGAACCCUUUUAAAGGGUGGCACAAAAUCGGAGGCCCCGACUGUUUACUAAAAACACAAUUCAGAGCAAUGAUGAAAAAUCAUAGUAUUCUGGAUGAAAUUUGCCCAAUGCCAUUAACAUAAAAGAGGUUAUGGGUAACUGUAACUAAUUGAAAGUCUGGUUAAUAGCGGUCUUAACUAUGAGGAUCCAAAGGUAGCAAAAUAAAUUGGCCAUUAAAUGUGGUCUGGUAUCAAUAGUGUAACGAUGGUCUCACUGUCUCUACAACUUGCUCAGUGAAAUUGAAUUACCCGUGCAGAUGCGGGUUGCCUCCAGGUGGACGGGAAACUUAAAUUAUAUCUGGAAUAAGAUAAAAAUGCGACUAGCUAAGUUUACUAUAAUAAUGUUGUGUAAACCAACCAGAUAACCCAUUAUCUGAGCUCAAACAGCAUGUUUUCGGAGUAAUCCUAAAUCAUGAAGCCUGUUUAUAUGUGAUUAUUCAAUAUGGGAAAAUUAAUUAAAUUGAAUAUCUCAUAUAAGAGCUAGAUACCUAUGAACAAUGUAAUGUGAAUUCACGUCAGAAGCGGUAUGAUAGAUUGUAGAAAUACGUUCCCGUGUUUUUCUUAAUGGGUCUAAAUAUCUCAUAACGUAUAGUGGAGUUCUAAGGGUAUCAUUAAGGUAUUAUAGUAAAAACUAGGUAAGCCCAAUAAUAACCAAUUUACAAGAAUUAGUAAUUGGAGGUUUAUCUGCGAAGAUAAAUAACUGUUAGUGGGUAUAGGAAAUUCAAAAAAGCUAAAGCCUUGUUGUAAUGACAAGGAUAGGUUCGGUUGAACUAAUCUGAAAGGAUGCAGACUUUGAAUUAGUGUAAAGUGAUAAUUGUUAAAAUUUUUAUUUGAAGUAAUUGUUCAAUGAUAAAAUUAAAUUCAUUCUAACUCCAGUUUCAAUUAAUCCAGAGUAGGUUAAUUCUACACCAAUGUAUUUAGUAUGCUAAUAACAUAUUUAAAUUAAAAAACUAUGGAUAUGAUGAAUAGAAAUUUUACUAAACCUAAUCAAAUUUUAAUACCUUGGCAGGUAACAGGAUUAACAGAUGGUGAAGGAUCAUUUGUUUAUUCUAUAACUAAAACAGGUAAAGGCUUAACAGGUCAAAAAAUAAGUUUAGAAUUUAAAGUAACACAAAAAACACAUUCAGAAGGAGUACUUUAUGAACUUAAAGAAUAUUUUGGGUGUGGUAAUGUAGUUAUAGAUAAUAGAAAAACAGAUACUAAAAAAUUUCAUAUUAAUUCUUUAAAACUUCUUUUAGAAAAAGUAAUACCUCAUUUUGAUGAGUAUCCUUGUCUUACUUCUAAAGAAUUAAAUUAUAAAGAUUGGAAAAAAAUUUGUCUAAUCAUGAAUAAAAAAGAACAUCUAAGUAUCUCGGGAAUGGAAGAAAUAAAUCAAAUAGUUUCACUAAUGAAUAAAAAUAGAUCUUUUGAAGAUAAAUAUAAUCACUGUAAAUCUUUUUUAGGUUUAUCUGGUUUAGAAGUAAAAUAUAAUUUACCUCCUCAUUGGAUACAAGGAUUUUUAACAGGUGAAGGUUUCUUUUAUCAUUAUUUAAAUGGAACUAUUAUUAAUCCAUCUCUUGAAUUAGGACAAAAUAGUCAUGAUGUAGCUAUUUUAAUAGCUCUUAAAAAAUUUUUCAAUGGAGGUUAUCUUAAACCUAAAUAUAAUUUUAAUGAUUUAGAAGAAUGUAAAAAUUCAAGAUCUCUAAAUAGAUUUAUUUUAAGGGAUACGGAAACUAUUAUCCAAUUUGUAGAUCAAUAUCCUAUGUUAACUAGAAAACAUCUAGAUUACGUAGAUUGGAAAAAAGUUGUAGUCUUAAAAAAUAAAGGUUUACAUAAAACCGAAGAAGGAUUAGCUUUAAUAAAUGAAAUAGUAUCAAAAAUGAAUUCUAAACGUGACUAGAAUACUUAGCUUAAAAUUUUAAACAAUUAAAAUAAACUUUAUGCUUGAGCUGUAUGCGAUGAAAGUCGCACGUACAGUUCUUAGAGGAUGUCAAAGUUGUAAAACUUGGCGGAGCCUCAACAGACCCUAUGCAGCUUUACUGUAGUUAGCUAUCAUAUUGAUCUACAACAACCUUGGUUAAUAGUAAUUAGGGAUGUCGAUUGACGAAAGAUGGAAUACCUUCUGACUUUGGUUGGGUUAAUAUUUACCUUUUUAAGUCAUAUAUCAUAUAAUGACUCAAAAUUUUCUUUUGUUUAUUAUAUUCAUAUUUUGUUAUAUAGUGUUAUAUUAUAUCAAGCUUAUAAGGGAUAGGUGGCUAAUUGGCAGUUUGACUGGGGCGGUCGUCUUUGAUAAAGUAGCAAAGUACAUCCAAAGAUAUUUAUUUAUUAGAAACAAUCUUUUUUUUUUUUAAAAAGAUACUAACUAAAAAAUCAUAGUAUCUGUAUAAACUAUGAAGAAUAUAAUUUAUUAUAUUUUUAUUAACUUAAGGUAUAGCUAGAAAAUUGAAUGGAAAUCAAUCAACCAGUGUGAAAGGUUGUAAUCGGCGUAAUGGCGGAAAGCAUGCCUAACUGAAAGACUUAGAAGUCGAACAGAUACGUAAGUAGGGCAUAGUGACCCUUCGCUAUAUUAUGGAAUAGACGGGGAUCAAUCGAUAAAAGUUACGCUAGGGAUAAAUUGUUGUCCCUAAUACUUAUAAAAGUAAAAACACUGGGUUAAUUGCAAGGACUACUUAAAACUUUUAAAAUAAAUUAAGUUAAUUUGCAGCGAAGCUCAUUUCGGCAUCACUUAUUUCAUUAUUUAAGUGUGAAGUGAGAACGUUCAACGACUAGAAAGUGAGUAAUGCUAAACAAUAAUCUUUCCAAGAGCGCCCAGCGUCUCUAUUACUUUUCUUUUCAUAUUACAUGUUCCCAAAGGAAAAAUAUUUAAAUUUAAAAUGAAUAAAAACCUAUUAAUAGGACUAAGUCCAAAUAGCAAAUUAAUUAAAGAGUAUAAAAAAUCUUUAACUUCUUUAACCACUCUUCAAUGGGAGGCUUCAAUAGGUUUAAUGCUAGGUGACGCUAGUCUCCAAACUCAAAAUAAAGGUAAAACUUAUAGAAUGAAAUUUGAAUGGGGUGAUAAAUCUAAACCCUAUUUAAUUCAUGUCUAUAAUUUAUUUGAUGAAUGGGUAUUAUCUAAUCCUCAUAAAAAAUCUAGAUUAAGCCCCAAAGGAAAUCUAGUGGUAAAUUGGGGUUUUCAAACUAUUAGUCAUGAAGCUUUUAAUCCUUUAGCUAAAUUAUUUCUUAAUAAUAGCAAAAAAGGAAUAUUAGAUUCAUUAAUAAUGAAUUAUUUAACUGAAAGAGGUUUAGCUUAUUGGUUCAUGGAUGAUGGGGGUAAAUUAGAUUAUAAUAAAAAUUCUAAAAUAGAAGUAUUGUUUUAAAUACUCAAAGUUUCACAGAACAAGAAGUUGAAAUAAUGUCAAAAGAAUUAAUGGCAAAAUUUCACUUUGAAUGUGAAUUAAGAACAAAUAAAUCUAAAAAAGUUAUUGUUAUAAGUAAUAAUAGCUAUCCGUUAUUUUAUGAAUUAGUAAGUCCUCAUAUUAUACCUGAAAUGAUAUAUAAGCUUCCACAAUUAUAGGAAAGGAAGAAAGAAAAGACUAAAGAGAUGAUGACAUAGUCUGAACCAUUCUGUGAAGAAUGGAUGUAAAGAAUAAAAAAUCUUUACGCUAACAUAUUUUGAACAGGCUGAUAGCUGGUGAGAGUACACAUUGUCCCGGCUGUUUGGCACCUUAAAUACAUUGGGGAGUAUAAAUAGAAAUAAUUAUAUAGUAAUUGGCUAUAUGCUGAAACACCCUAAAGCUUUAAGUACUCAUUUAUUUUUAAUAAUAAAUUGUAAUAAUCUUAAUGAUUGGGCAAUCAGCAGGGAAGUUACUUAUUUAGGUUAUAGCAACUGUAAAAUCUGUAACCCCUCAACGACUACACGCCAACAUCCAGUAGCUACAUAAAGGUAUUCUUAUGCAGGAUGAAGAUAUAGUCUAAUCUUAAUUGAAAAAUUAAGCUCUCAAUCCUAUUAAUAAUAAAGGUAAGAGGGGGUAUCUAUUUAUAUAUUUAGAUACUAAUAUUGCGAUGUCGACUCAACCUAUCCUCCGGGGGUAGAAGCUUGGAAGGGUUCGGCUGUUCGCCGAUUAAAAGGUUACGCGAGUUGGGUUUAAUAGUUAACAAGUAAUAAGCACGUAGUAUAAAUAAUUAUGUUAAUAACACAGCGUAUAUAUAACAUAUUAAAAGAGUAUGUAAUAAAUUAAUUACAUAUGUUAGACACUAUCAAAAUAAAAAUUCCAAAUUAUAUGGAAAACAGUAAUACUUUACCAAAAUAUCUUCAUGAUGUUUUAAUUGGAUUAAUGUUGGGGGACGGUUAUUUAUAUAAAACUUCUCAGACAAGUAAUAGUAGAUUUGAAAUGAGUUUUGGAACAGAUAGAGUAAGUUUUGCUGAAUGGGUCGGUAAUCUAUUUAAAGAUUAUUCUAGUACUGGAAUUAUAAAAGUUUAUUAUAAAAAGGGAACACCUUUCUCUAAAUUUAAUUAUAGAUUCAAAACUAAAACAUUACCUAUUUUUAAUUUUUACCAUGAUCUUUUUUAUAUAAAAAAUGAAGUCACUUUGAAAUAUAAAAAACUAGUUCCUUCUAAUAUUAAUUCUUUAAUGAAUCCAGUUGUUUUAGCUUAUUUGAUAAUGUCUGAUGGUAAUUUCGAUAAAUCUAGAAAUAGAAUCAGAAUUUAUACCAAUAGUUAUUCAAAAGUAGAAGUAGAAAGAUUAGCUAAAUCUAUUCAAUCUAAUUUAGAUAUUUAUGUUGGUGUAAUGCAUGAUAGAAAGGACCAAUGGAUUUUAACAAUAGGUGCACUACAAUUAGAUAAAUUAAGAGAUAUCGUAAAAUCUCAUUUUGAACCUAGCAUGUUAUAUAGAAUCGGAAUUUAACUUAAUGAUUUAUACUACAUUAUUAUAUUAUAAUAAGCCCCCUUAUACCAACGUUGGUUUUAAGGAAAACCGGAUAAAUUGCAAGGAAAACUUUAAUUUUAAAGUCAAUUUGCAGCCAAAGCUUGAUAAAGUGAACCAUAUUAUAUAUAUUUGGAUUAUCAAGAAGGUUCAACGACUAACAGGUGAGUAUCACUAACAAUAAGCCUGACACGAAGAUCCGGCGUUAAUAAAAUAAAUUAACGAUGACAUAGUCUGAACAGUGGCGUGAGUUACUGAGAUAGAGUUUAAAUUACUCUAUGAUAACAAAAUUGUUAAUACGACGUGAGUCAGUAUGGUCCCUAUCUUCUGGAGGGAUAAAUAGUAAAAAGGGGCAGACCUUCUAGUACGAAAGGAUCAAUAGGCUGUGUUUCUCUAGUGUACCAAUUGUAAUUCUCUAUUUUUUAAAUUUUAAAAAGAUUAAAGAAAGAUUAAAGCAUAGUUGGGUAGCCACAAACAUGAUAGAUAAGCGCUGAAUGAAUAUUAAGCAGGAAGCUAUCCCCUAGAUACUAUCUUAUUGAUUUUCUAUUUAAUUAAAUUAUUAAUUAUCUAUUAAAUCAAUGUGAAUAAGAAAUAGAACAUUUCUAAAUAGGAUGCAAAUGUAAGUCUUGUAAAAC
This 10015-nucleotide ribosomal RNA is filed under the name Ganoderma applanatum. The record is from RNAcentral. Lineage: Eukaryota; Fungi; Basidiomycota; Agaricomycetes; Polyporales; Polyporaceae.